GACGAACGCUGGCGGCGCGCUUAACACAUGCAAGUCGAACGGGAUUUAGUAGACAGAAGCCUCGGCUAAAGAUUACUAAUGAGAGUGGCGAACGGGUGAGUAACGCGUGAGCAACCUGCCUAUGACAGUGGGAUAGCCUCGGGAAACCGGGAUUAAUACCGCAUAAAAUCGUAGAAACACAUGUUUCAACGGUCAAAGAUUUAUCGGUCAUAGAUGGGCUCGCGUCUGAUUAGCUAGUUGGUGAGAUAACAGCCCACCAAGGCGACGAUCAGUAGCCGGUCUGAGAGGAUGAACGGCCACAUUGGAACUGAGACACGGUCCAAACUCCUACGGGAGGCAGCAGUGGGGAAUAUUGCACAAUGGGGGAAACCCUGAUGCAGCGACGCCGCGUGAACGAAGAAGGUAUUCGUAUCGUAAAGUUCUGUCCUAUGGGAAGAUAAUGACAGUACCAUAGAAGAAAGCUCCGGCUAAAUACGUG
Molecule: ribosomal RNA, 478 nt
Filed under: uncultured bacterium
Lineage: Bacteria
Description: partial 16S ribosomal RNA
Rfam family: Bacterial small subunit ribosomal RNA
Source: RNAcentral